AACGAACGCUGGCGGCAUGCCUAACACAUGCAAGUCGAACGAUAUCUUCUGGUCUGGUGGCGCACGGGUGCGUAACGCGUGGGAACCUGCCUUUAGGCUCCGUAUAACUCAGAGAAAUUUGUGCUAAUACCGGAUGAUUUCUUCGGACCAAAGAUUUAUGGCCUUUAGAUGGUCGCGAGUUGGAUUGGCUAGUGGGUGGGGUAAAGGCCUACCAAGGGGUCGAUCCAUAGCUGGUCUGGGAGGAGGAUCAGCCACACUGGGACUGCGGCACGGACCAGUCUCCUACGGGAGGCAGCAGUGGGGAAUAUUGGACAGUGGGCCAGAGUCUAAUACAGCAGUGCCGCGUGAGUGAUGCAGGCCUUGGAGAUGGAAAACUCUUUUACCCGAGAUGAUAAUGACGGUACCGGGAGAAUAAGCUUCGGCUAACUCCGUG
RNAcentral lists this ribosomal RNA (433 nucleotides) under uncultured bacterium. RNAcentral's name for it is "partial 16S ribosomal RNA". It matches the Rfam family "Bacterial small subunit ribosomal RNA", at positions 29 to 507 of the family's 1533-position model. The record is from RNAcentral.